AUACGUAGGGGGCGAGCGUUGUCCGGAAUGAUUGGGCGUAAAGGGCGUGUAGGCGGCCUGUUAAGUCUGAAGUGAAAGUCCUGUUUUCAAGAUGGGAAUUGCUUUGGAUACUGGCGGGCCUGAGUGUAGGAGAGGGGGUUAGAAUGUCCCGUGUAGCGGGGGAAUGCGUAGAGAUCGGGAGGAACACCAGUGGCGAAGGCGGGUAACUGGGCUGCAACUGACGCUGAGGCGCGAAAGUGUGGGGAGCAAACAGGAUUAGAUACCCUGGUAGUCCACACUGUAAACGAUGAAUGCUAGGUGUAGGGGGUAUCGACCCCUUCUGUGCCGCAGUAAACACAAUAAGCAUUCCGCCUGGGGAGUACGGCCGCAAGGUUGAAACUCAAAGGAAUUGACGGGG
Molecule: ribosomal RNA, 397 nt
Filed under: uncultured bacterium
Lineage: Bacteria
Description: partial 16S ribosomal RNA
Rfam family: Bacterial small subunit ribosomal RNA
Source: RNAcentral